RNAcentral lists this transfer RNA (72 nucleotides) under Candidatus Curtissbacteria bacterium. Its description in RNAcentral is "tRNA-Cys". It matches the Rfam family "tRNA". Rfam says of the family: Transfer RNA (tRNA) molecules are approximately 80 nucleotides in length. Their secondary structure includes four short double-helical elements and three loops (D, anti-codon, and T loops). Lineage: Bacteria; Candidatus Curtissiibacteriota. The record is from RNAcentral.
GGCGCGGUAGCCAAGAGGUAAGGCAGCGGUCUGCAAAACUGCUAUACGUGGGUUCGAUUCCCAUCCGCGCCU